Regulatory RNA element from Fusobacterium varium ATCC 27725, 99 nucleotides. It matches the Rfam family "Purine riboswitch aptamer". Rfam says of the family: Riboswitches are metabolite binding domains within certain messenger RNAs that serve as precision sensors for their corresponding targets. Allosteric rearrangement of mRNA structure is mediated by ligand binding, and this results in modulation of gene expression. A class of riboswitches that selectively recognises guanine and becomes saturated at concentrations as low as 5 nM. The record is from Rfam. NCBI's taxonomy places the organism in Bacteria, Fusobacteriati, Fusobacteriota, Fusobacteriia, Fusobacteriales, Fusobacteriaceae.
AUUAUUAAAAAAUAAAUUACUCAUAUAUCCCUGUAAUAUGGUCAGGAGUCUCUACGGGUUGCCAAUUAACAAGCCGCUAUGGGUGAAUUUAAUAGUCCU